Molecule: small nucleolar RNA, 134 nt
Organism: Ochotona curzoniae (black-lipped pika)
Lineage: Eukaryota; Metazoa; Chordata; Mammalia; Lagomorpha; Ochotonidae
Product: small nucleolar RNA SNORA70
Exons: 1
Source: RefSeq, a predicted model, not a curated record
CCACAGCCAAUGAGGCUUACUAGGCUCCUUUCCUUUAGGUGCUCGGUGUGCAAUAGCCACAAAUAGCAGCAGCCUGAGUGAUGUACAUAAGUUGUUGCUCCUAUGGGUUACUCUAAGGGGCCUUGGAUGCAAAA